RNAcentral lists this unclassified non-coding RNA (226 nucleotides) under soil metagenome. RNAcentral's name for it is "partial contains small subunit ribosomal RNA, internal transcribed spacer 1, and 5.8S ribosomal RNA". The record is from RNAcentral.
UUUCCGUAGGUGAACCUGCGGAAGGAUCAUUACCUACUGCGCCGUGCCUGCAGGUGUUUGCACCCGCAGGCAUAGCCAGCCAACCCUUGUCCAUCGCUACCAUUUGUAAAUCCCUCGGCAGGGACGCCUGCCGCUGGGACCCCCUAAACUCCACGUAUGCAAGCAUUAAAACCUUCAGAAUCCACACAAAAUAUUACAACUUUCAACAAUGGAUCUCUUGGUUCUG